AGCAUGCUGCUUCCGAUUGAAUCCUAGCAAUGUUGAUUUUUUUAUUUGCUACACCAAAAAUCAAUCCAGAAGCUGGACUCUGUGUGUUGUUCUACCUAGUAGAGUCUAUGUUCUACCCCACGAGUAAUACAUGUUUUCUCCCCUCCUCUGGGACUCUUUUCAAAGUGCCUACAAAGAUGUUUUUGUUUUCUUAAACUGUUAACAUGCAAUUCCUACUGUUCGUUUCUACACUGCCUUCUUAAGGAAGACGACAGCGGUAAUAUCUUGUGCUGGAAAAGGAUCUCGAGGAGUUUUCAUGCGCUUUAGACACAGGCACUUCAGAAGGCAUCAAGACGAGGUCGAGGAAGGACCCUAAUAAGGGAGCGGGAAACUGCGGAAGUGGUUGGUGUUACGGCGCGAGGAGAUGCUGCAAAAUGUAGUACAAGUUCAUCCAAGUCCAAUGCUCCAGUAAAGUCCUUAUUAUAACUUUAAAGAUCAAGAUCAGCUUUAUGUUCAUGUGGCACUGACAAUCUCUGUGGAUGUAAGACUGAUGUUAAAUUAGAAAAGCAACUCUCCACUGUUGCAGUACUACUUGGAGUUGUCAAAGCAGCCUCAGCCAAAACAGUCCAGAAAAUGCAGAUCUAUAUUUUCUGAGCUCAUCUGCAAAUUGUAUCAGUGAUGGUCUUUCUCCAGUAACAGUUUUUGCCAACUCAAUCUUGGAAACUUAAGUUUUCUAGCUUUUUUACAAUUUUCAGAGCUGUGUUUCAAUAGUUCACAUAGUGGAUUCACAUUUUCUUUAUCCCCAUACUGGAGCAGAAUAUACUUGCAAGCAGCUACAACAAUUUUCUCUCCUUGAAUCUAUUUUCCAGUUCCUGAGUACAGUGGUCAAUAACGCUGUUAUAAAGCCUUCUGCACUCUAGUUCAUCUUCACCCCUUCCUUAAAAAUUAAUGUCCCGACUAUCAACAAUGCUGUCAUAAAAAAUCCUGUCAGAAAACCAUAGCUUACAAAGGCACACAGGACCAUGUGUCGCACACAGAGACAGGCGCCUAGAACAUCCAUCUCAUGGGGGUAUCCCCCAAUGCACCUUGCUCAUCAUGAGGUGCACUGUGGGAUAUCCGGGGGGUGGGACACGUUCCAGCCUCCAAAGAUCUGCACUGCUUAGAGCAGCACAGAUUGGGAGAUUUGUCUGGCAGCAUUUGUUGGUUGAAUGGGGGAAAGGUAAGUUGGGCCCUGCUUCCCCUGAGUAUUUACUGAGUAUUCCAGCCAGUCCCACAGUUUAAACCAGGGGUACCGGAAUCUCUGCCAUUGUCAUUUUUCUUUGUCCCUGGAUAUGAGGAAAGAUAAGGCUGUGCUGGUCUAGACUCACCCAAGUCUGUCGGUGCAGUUCCAGGAAAGUCAGCUGAGUUUCUUGUUGAACUCUCAGUGCUACAUUCUCUUUCCAAAGCAGCACUGGUAGAUGAAGGUUUACAUUCGGUGUUUCCUUCUUCACCUAGUAAAGCUGCCACCAAACUGACAGGAAUUGCUGCUUUCUGGCAAAAAAGUUUGUGAUGGGUGUUUAUGUUGAAGCCAUGAUGAUAAUAGUGGUGGUGGUGGUGGUGAAGUAAUAAUCUGUAGAUGCAGACAUAAAAGUAAUCAGGGAACUGUAAAAGUAAUCAGUGAACCAAUACAUGCAUGAAAAGGAGCGUUGGUCACUCACCAUGAAGGCUUCUUCCAGCUGCUGUUGUGGAAGACAUCUCGUGUGGGUUAUCAUCCCGAACUCGCUCCAGAGAGGUAGGACUAUGUAAAUAAGCUACCAAGCCUCUAAAAGCCUCGGGAGGAUAGCCCCUCCCAGUUUAAGUAGGCAAGCUAAGCUUCUAGAAAGGAAGAAGUACAAGUUGUAGUUAAUACAGUUAUCAGAAUAGAAAAAACAAGACCCAGAAGCCGGGAUGUCCCGGGUGGGUUGAGAUGUCUUCCACAACAGCAGCUAGAAGAAGCCUUCACGGUGAGUGACCAAUGCUCCUUUCUCAGCUGCUAUGGGAAGACAUCUUGUGUGGGACAUGCCACAGCUGACAGACUCUGGGAGGGAGACAUCCCAGCUACUGGGAAGGAAGAACGUGCUGGAGAACACGCCUGCCAAAUGCAGCCUGAGAAGAGUGCAGCAAAUCAAUUUUAUAAUGUUUUGUGAAGGUCGAUGGAGAGGACCAAGUAGCUGCCCGGCAUAUUUCCUCCAAAGGUGUGUUGGUAGAAAACGCUGCUGUUGUGGCUGCUGCUCUGGUGGAAUGCGCUGUGAUACUCAAGGGUGUUGGCAGGUGUUGAACCUCAUAAGCCAAUGCAAUACAUGCUCUAAUCCAGCGGGCUAAUGUGGCUGACAAUACCCGCUGGCCCAUGGUGGAAGGCAAGUAUGACACAAAAAACGAGUCCGUGACUAAAGGCUUCAGUUCUGGAUAGAUAAAUUCUCAAACAGCGUCUGACAUCAAACUUAUGCCAGUCUUUUUCCUUGGGAUGUGACGACUUUGGACGGAACGACGGUAAUAUCAAAUUUUGCAAUCUGUGGAAAAUAGAAGGGACUUUAGGGAGCACUGAAGGAUCUGGAAUCAGAGUAAUUGAAUCUGCCGAAAAUAUACAGAACUUGGGGUGAGCUGAAAGAGACUUGAGUUCUGAAAUCCUUCUGACUGAAGUAAUCGCUAUUAGAAAGGCCAAUUUCAUGGACAGAAUGUGUAAAGGAAUGGAACGUAUGGGCUCAAAGGGAGGGGUGUGAAGCAUCCUCAGCACCUUGUGAAGGUCCCACGUCGGAAACCUGUGAACCACUGGUGGAGAAAUAAGUGUAGCACCUCUCAGAAAUCUUUUCAAAUCAGGGUGAAAAGAUAGAUUCUUUCCCUUGAAUGAUGCCAGGAGAGGGCUUAUCUCUGCUACAUGGCGUUUGAUUGUGUUCGCGCUGAGACCUUUGUCCAAACCGUCCUGUAAGAAUGCCAUAAGUUCUGGCAAGGAACAUGUGUUUGGAGAUUACUUAUGUCUACCACACCAAUGAAGGAAUACUCUCCAUGUGGAUUGGUAUAUUUAGUUUGUUGACGACUGUCUAGAUGCCAAAAUAGUGUUCAGGACGUUUGGUUCAUAUCCCUGGCAACUGAGGAUGUUGUGCUCAGUCGCCAAGCAGCAAGCUUGAACCAGCUGGGGUUGUGGUGCAGAAUUGGCCCCUGGCUGAGAAGAUCGUCCAUGUCCGGAAGGAAAAAGGGACCAUCCACCGUGAGAUGUAGAAUCUCGGUAAACCAUGGGCGGCGGGGCCAAUACUUUGCUUGCAACAGAUGAAUGCGCCGCAACAGCCUGCUCAGGAGAGGAACCGGAGGAAAGGCAUACAACAGCCCUGGCGGCCACGGGGCUGACAUGGCAUCUACUGCUUCUGCCUGGUGAUAUGGGAAUUGAGCGAAGAAGCGUGGUAGUUGGUUGUUGAGACUGGACACAAAGAGAUCUACAAGUGGGCAACCCAGUUUCCUGGUGAUUUGCCUGAAUACUCUGGGACUGAGUUUCCACUCUGCUGGAUGUAGUUCCUAACGACUCAACCAAUCUGCUUGUACAUUGAGCGAUCCGCUAACAUGGUGGGCUAUUAUUGAUGCCAGAUGGAUCUCGGCCCACUGUAGUAAGAGCGUCGCCUCCUGGUGGAGCUCUUGAGACCUGGUUCCCCCCGUCUGUUGACAUGCGCCUUGGCUGUCAUGUUGUCUGUAUGGAUUAGAAUGUCCUUUCCCCGUACCAGAGGCUUGAAGGCCAAUAGUGCCAAGCGAAUGGCCCUCAGUUCGAGCCAAUUCAUGCUGUGUUUUCUCUCUUCCGAGGUCCAAGUGCCCUGAGCUGAUUUGGACAAGCAGUGAGCCCCCCAGCCACGAAGGCUGGCAUCUGUUGUUAAGAUGAUUCUGGGUGGAUCUAGGACGGUCUCCCCCUGUUCAGAUUGUGAGGAGUCAGCCACCACCCCAGAGAAUCCUGCACAUGACGUGGCAGAGAGACCCUCCUGUGACUCUUGCUUGCGAUGUCUUCCUGGAAGGGCAGUAAGAACCAUUGUAAGGGGCGAAGGUGGAAACACGCCCAGGGGACAGCUUCCAGAGUUGCCACCAUCAGACCCAAUAGUUGGGCAAGGGUUCUGACUGGAAUAUUUUGAAGCGAUAGCACUUCUUGUAUUAGGGCCAUGAGCUUCUGUUUGCAUUCCUCUGGAAGAAAAAGCUUGUCCUGUAUCGUGUCGAUGAUGGCCCCAAGGUGCUGCAGUUGAGUAGCUGGAGAUAGGUGACUUUUGGCUUUGUUCACUAUGAAGCCAUGAGAGUCCAGGACAUCCAAGGUGAUGUCGAUGUCCCUUUUUGGAGUCUCUUUUGACUGAAGAUCGUCCAAAUAAAAGAACAGUCUGACCUUUUGAAGUUGAAUGUGCGCUACUGGGGGGCAUUAUUUUCAUGAAAAUCCUUGGCGCCGAUGAAAGGCUGAAGGGCAUUGCUGCAUACUGGUAAUGGUGCCCCUGGUAGCAAAAAUGAAGCAGAUGUCUGGAUCUAUGAUGAAUUGGCACGUGGAGGUAGGCCUCUGUCAAGUCGAUGGAUGACAAUAGAUCCCUGUUAUGUAGGUUCUCUGCAACAGAACACAGAGUUUCCAUGUGAAACUUUCUUUUCCGUACCCAGCGGUUGAGAUACUUCAGAUCUAAUACUGCCCUGAAAGUACCGUCCCAUUUGGGCACGGUAAAUGAGAUUGAGCAAAUUCCGUGACUAAGCUGAUUCGGAGGAACUGGUUCUAUGGCAGAGAUGGCCAGAAGGUGCCUGAUGGCCUGCUGCAUGGCUGAGUGUUUCAGAUGGGACUUGGACCAAGGAGUAGACAUGAACCUGUCCCUGGGCAGGGAGCUUAGUUCAAUUGCGCAGCCAUGUAGCACCGUCUGCAGGACUCACUGGUCUGACUCGGAGCCCUCCCAAGCAUGAAAGAAUUGAGAGAGAUGACCUCCUACUCCAGACAAGUCACAAGGUUUGACGGGGCUUGGCUUGUUGUCCAAACUGAUUCUGCUUGGAGGAGGCAAACUUGUUAAAUUGUGGUCUAUUCCAAUUGUGUCGGUUCCUGUUGUCUCUGUCCCUAUCAUUGUUACGCAAGUAGGGACGAAAGGAUCGAAAGGGCUGAUUGGUCCUUUUGUAUGGCCGCAUUCCUGGCGGCUUUUGUUUGCCGCCACCCCCUGUUGGAGGUCUAUAGAGCCCUGCUCGUCGUCUCUUGCAGCCGCGUCUGAGGAAGGCACAGUGCCCCGGGGUGGGCCGUUCUAUCCAGCCAGUACCUGGACGCAGUAGUGCAGGGACUUUGUUGUUUUCAUUGCCGACGUAGGCUUUUUUGCCCUAGGCAUAAUGUCCUGUAAAAUGCUGGCUCUUCUAGGCUCCAUUAGGCAGGGAAGUAAAAGGCAACAAAAGCGGGAGGAGAAAGAAGUUGAGAGGAUUAGCGCCAGCCCCGGCAGCACAAAGACCAGAACAACUCACAGCACAGCACAAAGAAAAAAUAUGUAAGAAGAGGUUUUCAAGUAAAUGAAAAAGAAAAUGUACAACACAUGAAGAUUAAUUUCUACUUACAUUCCAGAACAGAAGAUGGAAACUAGAAAUCUUUCUUGUAGGGAUUUUUCCCUCCAACACAGUAGUCAGGAAAAAGAACUCAGUUUGCCACAAAGACUCGAGCAGAAUGAAUACAAACUUUUAAACCUAAAUGGAGUGAAUAGUUCAGCAGUUACCCAAUGUGAAGGAAUCACUCCUUCCCAUUGUGUUUUAUGGUUUUUAUUCUGAUUGUUCUGUGUUUCCUCCAGGCUCUGUGAAAGGAAGCAACCUCUUACAGCCAAGUCUGAGGUUAGAGUUACCUGCUGCAGAAUUUUGGAAGGAAAGUUACAAUGUGUUGUGAAUGGUUGCCUCCAGGCAGAAGGUUCUGGCUGCCUGAGGAAAGAAACUCCCUGAUGGGUUAUGGAUCCUUUUGGAACUGGAUCAAAGGGAAGACUGAGCAGCCAGGAGGAGGAGGACUGUGGGAGUAGAGCUUGGUGAGAGAGUGUGGGUGCUGCUGAGUGGUGUGUGAGCCAGAAGGCUAGAACAUCAGCAGAGAAAGGUUGGGCUGAAACCACUGGGGAAGGCAGCGUUGAGGGAGCUGGUCCUACUAGAACCUGCUUGGCUUUGGGAGAGAAGACUAGCAAGUUUGUUUUGUAUCGUUAUACUCUUGCCAACUGAAUUUUUCAACAUUUGUUCCUGUACUGUUUUGUUUGGGGAUGGGUUGUUUGUUUGUUUUUUAAAUUUUGCAACCUUUUAUUAUAGUAAACCUGUUCUUGUUUUUAUACUAUCUUACUGCGGUCCCCAUUGUUUUUGUCCCACCUCUUGCCCAUUUUGUUUACCACACUACUGAGUUUUGAUAUUGUUUUUGAAAGACAGAGGGUUCAAUAGCUAGGAGUGAAACCAGUCACACUAGCUAAAGAUCUAAUUUUGGUGGCAGUGGAUGGUUAGACUGAGGGCCAGCUGUGGCUAAACCCUCACACUCAGCUAUACCCAACACAAUUGGGAGAUCAGGAAGCCAUUAUAAUCUCAAUAUCUAGGGA
This is a long non-coding RNA of Hemicordylus capensis (graceful crag lizard), 6521 nucleotides long. RefSeq lists it as uncharacterized. NCBI's taxonomy places the organism in Eukaryota, Metazoa, Chordata, Lepidosauria, Squamata, Cordylidae. The record is from RefSeq and is a predicted model, not a curated record. The transcript is spliced from 3 exons.